RNAcentral lists this ribosomal RNA (305 nucleotides) under uncultured bacterium. RNAcentral's name for it is "bacterial SSU rRNA". It matches the Rfam family "Bacterial small subunit ribosomal RNA", at positions 337 to 659 of the family's 1533-position model. The record is from RNAcentral.
UUCUACGGGAGGCAGCAGUAAGGGAUAUUGGUCAAUGGGGGAAACCCUGAACCAGCAACGCCGCGUGAGGGAAGACGGUUUUCGGAUUGUAAACCUCUGUCCUCUGUGAAGAUGAUGACGGUAGCAGAGGAGGAAGCUCCGGCUAACUACGUGCCAGCAGCCGCGGUAAUACGUAGGGGGCAAGCGUUAUCCGGAUUUACUGGGUGUAAAGGGAGCGUAGACGGAAAGGCAAGUCAGAAGUGAAAACCCAAGGCUCAACCAUGGGACUGCUUUUGAAACUGUCAAACUAGAGUACGGGAGAGGUA